CCUCUGGCGAAGAUGACUCCUCUGGCGAAGAUGAUUCCUCUGGCGAAGAUGACUCCUCUGGCGAAGGAUGACUCCUCUGGCGAAGAUGACUCCUCUGGCGAAGGAUGACUCCUCUGGUGAUAGUGACUUCUCUGAUGGAAUUGACUUCGCUGGUGAAUGUAUCUCUUCUGCCAUAUUCGUCCCGCCCGUGGGGUCGAUUCCUCUGAUUUAUAUUCCUUCCCUACUCUGCACAUAUUACUCCUCAUCAACCACUCCCCCCUCUAGUCUGGUUGAACCGGGUAUUAUUCGUGUUCAACCAUCGUAGUAUUGUUAAAGCUGGUGCUAUGAUGUUUUCCCUGAUCCCUGCAAAUCAUGAAGAUACGAAAACGUUUAUAUUAUAAGAAAGCAAAGAUAAGCCCCAUAAAUUAUUCUCCAGUGUUUUUGUUACUCCCACCCCUUGGUCUGGCUAGUUCACUCUGGAUUAGUGCAACUAGUCAGAGGACUCGCCCGCAUGGAUGACGUCACCUGCAUUAAAUGCCUGCCCGAUCUACAGUGCUUUUUCCCGUACCCCGAGGUUACUUUUUAACCUUUGCGUCUUUUCGCCUUUCCGUAGGGAUUUUUAGCCGUCGAUUUAUUUCCGUAUGCCACGUGUCGUUCAUCCCGCAUGUUGGUAGUUGCCCGCGUAUAUCUUUACUUAGUCGAUUCGAACUCCCAUUUUUCACUAUUCUUCUUCUCCAGUUUUCUCAAAUCCUUUUAUCUGCAAAUUCCGGCGAUUCUCUCCCUGUUCCGGCGUAUUUCCCGCGAUACCUCCGCUCCGAUUUUUACCGUCCAUUUUUCUCUGCCCUAGGUAAUUUGCGUAUCCUUUUUCUUCCCCAUUAUUUGUGAUCAGUGUAAGUAGUUU
This 880-nucleotide long non-coding RNA is filed under the name Salvia miltiorrhiza (redroot sage). Its description in RNAcentral is "long non-coding RNA (SMIL_LNC011328)". The record is from RNAcentral. Lineage: Eukaryota; Viridiplantae; Streptophyta; Magnoliopsida; Lamiales; Lamiaceae.